RNAcentral lists this ribosomal RNA (424 nucleotides) under Fusobacteriota bacterium. Its description in RNAcentral is "Fusobacteria bacterium partial 16S ribosomal RNA". It matches the Rfam family "Bacterial small subunit ribosomal RNA", at positions 355 to 776 of the family's 1533-position model. Lineage: Bacteria; Fusobacteriati; Fusobacteriota. The record is from RNAcentral.
UGAGGAAUAUUGGUCAAUGGGCGAGAGCCUGAACCAGCCAAGUAGCGUGCAGGAUGACGGCCCUAUGGGUUGUAAACUUCUUUUAUUUGGGGAUAAAGUGCGUGACGUGUCAUGCAUUGCAGGUACCACAUGAAUAAGGACCGGCUAAUUCCGUGCCAGCAGCCGCGGUAAUACGGAAGGUCCGGGCGUUAUCCGGAUUUAUUGGGUUUAAAGGGAGCGUAGGCUGUCUAUUAAGCGUGUUGUGAAAUAUACCGGCUCAACCGGUGGCUUGCAGCGCGAACUGGUCGACUUGAGUAUGCAGGAAGUAGGCGGAAUUCAUGGUGUAGCGGUGAAAUGCUUAGAUAUCAUGACGAACUCCGAUUGCGCAGGCAGCUUACUGUAGCAUAACUGACGCUGAUGCUCGAAAGUGCGGGUAUCAAACAGG